UUCGAACGCACUAAAAUUUUAUAUAAAAAAUGAUAUCCGGCUCAAGAGUUGUCAAAUUCUAGAUAGUUCCAAUUUAAACAAAUCAUUAAUUUUGGCAUGUCUGAAAACUAGGACCCACCAUUUGAGAAAUAUUAGCAUGAAAACCAACAGUAAUAGAGGACACCUCUCGAGCAUGUAGUAAACUUGGAGAGGAAGCAUCGUCCCCCAUAAGUUGUCGUUUCUUAGAUUCAUCAAUCAGAACAACCAUUUCUUCAUCCGAACUAAUUUGUAACAUUGAAUUAUCCUCAACACACAUAGGCUUUGUACCAAUCCCAUGAAAAGCUCAGGCAGCAUCUUCACCAGUGAAAAAGGAACCAGUGCUGUCCCGUAGCCAUUGGUUAUGCUCACCUCUGUUUGUCUUGCCAUCGGCCUUAGCCAAGGACCCCAUCAUUUCGGCUCAAUCAAACUAACUACAUCAAAUAGCCUGUUAUAGAAUUUUUCAUUAUGGCCCAGUCUAGCACACAGAAAGCAAAAAAUUAACAACCUUUCGUAUUUAAAGUGCACAAUAAAGGAUUGAUUGGCAUGUAUGACCACACGCUUUGACAUCUUAAGUGGCAACUGCACAUUAAUUUCUACCCUGAUCGGCAUGAAGCUCCGACAGCUUCCAGUAACAACAGUUGUAUCAUAAUCCACAUAUUGACCCACAAAGUUGCCCAACAGUUGCAUCGUUGAAGAUGUCAUAUAGCCGGGGGCAAAUUGUGAAUUUGGGUCCAAAAGAGGGAUGAGUAUAGAGGAGCUUCCAUCGGAAUCUCACCUGGCUGUAGUAGAUGAGUCACCUGCAGGUGAUUACUAAAGGACCAAGGACCACCCUCGAUGACUCGUUGCAAGUCGAAAUGGUGAAAGAGCUGAAUCCAAUAGAGUUUCGACCCCAAUUCCUCGAAAAAAAACUCCUAGCACGGGACGCCAUAAAUUCGACAGUGUGGCCUUUAGAGCAUCGAAAUUAAUUUGGCGAUCCAUCAUGAUCUUGUCGAUGAGAGUAAACGCUGGAUUUUCAAUCGAAGCAACAGAGUCAUCAUCUCCAGCCGCAGCUCUAUAUCUUCGCCAUCUAGGAUUAGAUUAGCAAAAGACUUCAUCACAGAGAGAGGCUCGUUACAGAGAAUGAGAGGGAAACAUUUCCAACACAGAAGACUAAAUUUAAUAGUAGCUUAGUUUAGUGAAACUUACGUAAUAUUUUUUAUAAACACUAAUAAUUUUAAUUCGGCUUAAUUUAUGAUUUUUCUAUUAGCACAUUGUUGAAUUUUUUAAAAAUAUAUAUUGUAUGAUGUAUAAUUAAC
This 1313-nucleotide long non-coding RNA is filed under the name Manihot esculenta (cassava). RNAcentral's name for it is "long non-coding RNA (MESC_LNC005919)". The record is from RNAcentral. Lineage: Eukaryota; Viridiplantae; Streptophyta; Magnoliopsida; Malpighiales; Euphorbiaceae.